Molecule: ribosomal RNA, 503 nt
Filed under: uncultured bacterium
Lineage: Bacteria
Description: partial 16S ribosomal RNA
Rfam family: Bacterial small subunit ribosomal RNA
Source: RNAcentral
AUUGAACGCUGGCGGCAGGCUUAACACAUGCAAGUCGAGCGGAGUGAUGGUGCUUGCACUAUCACUUAGCGGCGGACGGGUGAGUAAUGCUUAGGAAUCUGCCUAUUAGUGGGGGACAACAUCUCGAAAGGGAUGCUAAUACCGCAUACGUCCUACGGGAGAAAGCAGGGGAUCACUUGUGACCUUGCGCUAAUAGAUGAGCCUAAGUCGGAUUAGCUAGUUGGGGGGGUAAAGGCCUACCAAGGCGACGAUCUGUAGCGGGUCUGAGAGGAUGAUCCGCCACACUGGGACUGAGACACGGCCCAGACUCCUACGGGAGGCAGCAGUGGGGAAUAUUGGACAAUGGGGGGAACCCUGAUCCAGCCAUGCCGCGUGUGUGAAGAAGGCCUUAUGGUUGUAAAGCACUUUAAGCGAGGAGGAGGCUCUUUUGGUUAAUACCCAAGAUGAGUGGACGUUACUCGCAGAAUAAGCACCGGCCAACUCUGUGCCAGCAGCCGCGGUAA